UUCAAAAGUUACAGUAAUUUAAUAACCUCAUUCGAAAUCACCAUGACUGAAGAUCAAAAUCACAAUAUUGUUUUAAAUUUAUUAUGUAUCAUGACUCAAAAAACUCUCUAGAAUAAAUUCACCUUUGACACUAACUAAUGAAGACAAUUUGCUCUAAUUCAAUUGUAAGAGAAAAUAUUUCAAGUAAAGCUUACAAGAGGAUGAUUUUGAUUUUUUGGCUAGAAGACUUCAGUUGUAGACAAGAACCACCCUCCCCCCAAAAAAAUUUGUUAUAACAUACUUAAGAUGGUAAGAGAAGAGGCUCCCUUGUUUGGAAAGAUUCAUAUUAGAAUCUUAUCAAUUUUUCUAUAGAGUGUUAUCAUUAGUGUUCUCUGGGGUUGGUAACUGGUUAUUGACGGUAGGGAUUUAAGAAUAUGGUUUCAUUUUGCUCUCAUCAUGAUCUGUGGCAUAUUUUGUCGUACCUCGCUUCCCUAUGGCUGGACAGCAUCUCAGAAAGACCUCAUAGAUUUCCAAUCACUUUCACUUGUAAGAACAGUCUCAUUUGUAGAAACUGAGGUGCAUUCAUUUAUUAAAGGUCUAGUGAUAUCAUAUCAAAAGUUCAAUUUCAGCCAAUUCAAAGUUUCUCUCCUCCUGCCCAUCUUCUGUGACCUGCAGUGGCCUUUCCUUUUGCUCACUGCUCCCCCCAUCACCUGGCUGCUUGUAGCUCCUCUAGGGUCAGCACAAGGAGAGAGACAUCAAUGGAAUGGAGGCUGACUAUCUUUUUACAUCAUCAGUUUGUGCUGUUGGCAAUUCUCUCUUGACUAUCAAACUCAGCUGUGUGAAGCAAGUGGUCACAUGUUGGAACUUUCCUGGGAAGCUUUCAUUUGUAGGUUCUUCAGGGCCCCAUGGAACUGCCCCGGGCUAGUUCCCUAUUGUGGCUGAACAACCAUUUGACUGGUCUUUUAUGACCUACCUUCCCACUCCACUUCAUGCACAAGCACACACACACUCAUGUGCAUGCACACAUACACACACACACAAAAUCUCCUACUUCAGCAUGCACAUCACAGUCUGGGUCCACUGCCUGGGUCAACUUACCCCAAAAGUUCUAUCUCCCAGGCAAAGAUAGCAAUAACUGCUCAAACUCUCUACCUUUCCAGUGUUGCUUGACUCAAGGAGAACAUACACAUUUUUCUGCAUCAAAGGGCAGAAGCUGAGCUUGCCGCUACUGACACCUGCCUCUAUAUUUACAAACCCCCAUGUCUUCACUGUGCUCUACUCUGACUGGCUGGAGGCAGCUCAGCAGGCAGCCCCCUGGGGAGUGGAGUUCUUGUUCCAGUCUCCAUAUGAGAGAAACUCCCCUUAGCACUCCACUUCUUGCUCCAUGGCAUUGGGAGGGAAAUGUCCCAGCCCUCUUUAUGAAGCCCAGGGCUCCUUAUGGAAACCACUGUCUCCAAUCUCCUUAUGAGUCACUAGUCAUCUGUAAUGUAGGCUAGAGCUGGGAUAGGACUGGUAGUCACUAGACUGGUUUUGACAUCUUUAUUAAACACUCCAUAGCCAUGUCUAGCACUCCAUUUUAGAACAUUAGAUAAUUAUCACUCAUUUUCAACUUUGGAGUAUUAAUUCAUUCUGAUAAUUAAAAAUGUCCCAUUCAGCAUCCUCACUUCAAAUUAUGUUGCUGGAAAAUUAGCAACUCAGUGCUGAAAACAUCUUACCAAAGUCAAUGAGCCAGAAGUUCACCUUGACUAAAACACCAAGUUUACAGGGAUUCUGCUCUAAUAGUGAUGACCACUAUAACCAUAUAAUAGAGCACAAUAAUCAUACUUUAUACAUGUAAAGGCCUACAUAAAACAUGCCUUUGCUAUAAUACUGUUUUCUGAUUAAAAUAUACAGCUACGCAAAUAUUUAAAUUAAAUAUUCUUAAACUUUUAUUUGAUUGAAAACAAAUGGAGCAGAUGCUCUGGGAAAGCUCCUUGCUAGAAGCAAAGUACUUUGGGGGAUUUAUGACUUUGUUGAAGCAGUUUUAAUUAGCUAUUUCAAAUUCUUGUUCAUUAAGUGUUUUUCUUUAACCUUCAAUGACCUGAUUUCAGAAGACUAACAAUGAAAAUAUUGUACACUUCUGCUGUUGUAUAAUGUUGUAUGCUAUGCUGGCAUUUCCCAAUAUCUUCUCUCAAUUAGUCCUCUCAGGGAUAAAACAUAAUGUUGGGCCUAUAAUAAGGAUGUUUUAAUAUAGGAGUCACUUACUCAGAUGCCUAAGUUACCAAGCAGGUAAUAUAAAGUAGAAAGUAAUAGUAGAGAAGAGUGGGGACUGUGACAAACUUGAAAUCUUAUGUUACAUAAAAAGAGUAGCUUCUAGGGGCACCUGGGUGGCUCGGUUGGUUGAGCGUCCAACUCGAUUUUAGCUCAGGUCAUCUCACAGUCAUGAGAUCAAGCUCCACAUUGGGCUCCAUGCUGAGCAUGGAGUCAGCUUGAGAUUCUCUCUCUCCCUCUGCCCCACCCACUGCUCUAUAAAUAAAUAAAUAAAUAAAUAAAUAAAUAAAUAAAUAAAUAAAUAAAUAAAUAUCUUUAUUAAAAGAAAUAGCUGCUAUUCAGGGCCAACUAACUUUGGUGUGCAGUUCAGAUGUUAACUGAUUUUUUUUUAAAGAAAAUUUAAAAUUUCAGGUGUUGUGAAAUCUACUGAUAUUGUAUUGAAUCAAAUUGAUACUAAAUCAAAAUUUUUAAACAUCAAGUUGAAACAAAACAUAAACCCCACAAAUGCUGAUAUCUGCAGGCUGCUAGUUUGUGACCUCCCUUUGUAGUAGAUAUUGUUGGUUCCAAAAUGGAGGAUCUUCUCUAUGCAGACCCUUGAGAGUAGUCUCCUUCAGUUAAGGUAUUUGGAAGAGGAAUAUUUUUCCUAAGUUCCAGUUUGUUGUUGAUCUUGUGGACACUGGUAUGAAAGAAAAUGACCAAACUUCCCCUUUCUCUUUGACUGCCAGAGAGCACAGAAGCAAAUCUAUGGCCCAAUCCUAGCAAGCAUAUAGAUCUGGACAGAAGGUACAACCCCCUAACCAUUUUUGUCCACUUUUAUUUCUCAUCUACUUUUAACUUAUGUCAUCUUGCUGCAUUUCAUACAAAUGUAUAGGUCCAUUUUAUUUCAUUUUUUUAAAGAUUUUAUUUAUUUAUUCAUGAGAGACACAGAGAGAGAGGUAGAGAUAUAGGUCCAUUUUAAAUCCUCUUUGGAACAAAGCAGGUUACAAAUGAUCUUUACAACAUUGAAACAGACAUUCAAUGAAAUAGACAUUAUUUCUGUGAAAUAGACAUUUCUGAUCCCAUAUGACAACUGAGUAAACUGAGCCUGCAUGAGGCUAACUGACUUGAUCAUUGACACUUGAAUCAGGAAAUGUGAAGACCCAACCCAUCUGUUCUGGCUCCAUGUCAAAUGCUCAACUGACUAUUCAAAACAACACAGUUCCAUAGCAGGAGUCUCAAACUCAGAUGUAACCCACCCCUGGAUACUAUAGGAGUUGGAGAAGGGCUUGCCCAGAGCUAUUGCAUUGUGAAGGUGAACAGUUCCCUAGAACACAACAUGAUCACGAUACAAAUGGUGCCCUCUAAAGUCGUACAUUAUAUGCAGCAUGCCCCUUUGGGAGGCAU
RNAcentral lists this long non-coding RNA (3612 nucleotides) under Canis lupus familiaris (dog). Its description in RNAcentral is "lncRNA (ENSCAFG00000054962.1)". The record is from RNAcentral. Lineage: Eukaryota; Metazoa; Chordata; Mammalia; Carnivora; Canidae.